RNAcentral lists this ribosomal RNA (424 nucleotides) under Verrucomicrobiota bacterium. Its description in RNAcentral is "Verrucomicrobia bacterium partial 16S ribosomal RNA". It matches the Rfam family "Bacterial small subunit ribosomal RNA", at positions 355 to 776 of the family's 1533-position model. The record is from RNAcentral. Lineage: Bacteria; Pseudomonadati; Verrucomicrobiota.
UGAGGAAUAUUGGUCAAUGGGCGAGAGCCUGAACCAGCCAAGUAGCGUGCAGGAUGACGGCCCUAUGGGUUGUAAACUGCUUUUAUAUGGGAAUAAAGUGAGGGACGUGUCCCUUAUUGCAUGUACCAUACGAAUAAGGACCGGCUAAUUCCGUGCCAGCAGCCGCGGUAAUACGGAAGGUCCAGGCGUUAUCCGGAUUUAUUGGGUUUAAAGGGAGCGUAGGCCGGUUGGUAAGCGUGUUGUGAAAUGUAGGAGCUCAACUUCUAGAUUGCAGCGCGAACUGUCAGACUUGAGUGCGCACAACGUAGGCGGAAUUCAUGGUGUAGCGGUGAAAUGCUUAGAUAUCAUGAAGAACUCCGAUUGCGAAGGCAGCUUACGGGAGCGCAACUGACGCUGAAGCUCGAAGGUGCGGGUAUCGAACAGG